This 82-nucleotide transfer RNA is filed under the name Amphimedon queenslandica. Its description in RNAcentral is "tRNA-Ser". It matches the Rfam family "tRNA". Rfam says of the family: Transfer RNA (tRNA) molecules are approximately 80 nucleotides in length. The record is from Rfam by way of RNAcentral. Lineage: Eukaryota; Metazoa; Porifera; Demospongiae; Haplosclerida; Niphatidae.
GCAGUGGUGGCCGAGUGGUUAAGGCGAUUGACUAGAAAUCAAUUGGGGUCUCCCCGCGUAGGUUCGAAUCCUACCCACUGCG